GAUGAAGAACGUAGCGAAAUGCGAUAAGUAAUGUGAAUUGCAGAAUUCAGUGAAUCAUCGAAUCUUUGAACGCACAUUGCGCCCGCCAGUAUUCUGGCGGGCAUGUCUGUUCGAGCGUCAUUUCAACCCUCAGGGCCCUUUUGGACCUGGCGUUGGGGCUCGGCCGCUACCCUGCGGCCGUCCCCGAAAGAUAGUGGCGGUCUCGCUGUAGCCUCCUCUGCGUAGUAGUUACAUCUCGCACUGGAACGCGGCGCGGCCAUGCCGUUAAACACCCCACUUCUCAAGGUUGACCUCGGAUCAGGUAGGAAUACCCGCUGAACUUAAGCAUAUCAAUAAGCGGAGGA
Molecule: unclassified non-coding RNA, 344 nt
Filed under: soil metagenome
Description: partial contains 5.8S ribosomal RNA, internal transcribed spacer 2, and large subunit ribosomal RNA
Rfam family: 5.8S ribosomal RNA (bases 1-120)
Source: RNAcentral